RNAcentral lists this unclassified non-coding RNA (465 nucleotides) under Hevea brasiliensis (rubber tree). Lineage: Eukaryota; Viridiplantae; Streptophyta; Magnoliopsida; Malpighiales; Euphorbiaceae. The record is from RNAcentral.
GCAGUAAUGAAAGUAGGACGCAAAUUCGGUUGGAUAACCCCUACAUAAGGCUUCAAUUGAAGUGGAGACCUUCUUUUCACUAAUUUUCUCAUACUUCUGUUUCUUCGUUCCCGCUUUUAGUCCUUGCCAAGGAAGACUUCCUCUUAGGAAGUACAUAAGAACAUAACCCAAUGAUUCUAAAUCAUCCCUCCGGCUUUGCUCAAUUCCCAGGUGCGUGUUCAUACUUGCAUAUCUAGCAGUUCCAGUCAAAUUUUUAUUUUCCCUGUAAGGUAUGUGUUGAUGGGUUGAACUAUCUCUAUAUUUCUUCGCCAAACCAAAGUCAAUCAUGUAUACCUGAUUAGCACGCCUUCCCAAGCCCAUGAGAAAAUUGUCUGGCUUGAUAUCUCGAUGAAGAAACGAUUUUGAAUGAACAAACUCAACACGAUUGAUCAUCUGAUCAGCAAGCAUAAGAACCGACUUCAAAGA